AAAUUGCAUCUGAGGACCAGUAGACAGAGUGCUUCGAAAGUCUACAUUCUAGACAUUGUGAGUAAACUAUUGUCAUUUUAAUUAUCUAGGGUGGUUUUUAGAUGAUUUCAUGAAUUUUAUGGAAAAAGGAAUUUAAAAAGGUAAAUUUUCAUGUUUUAUGAAUAAAUGUGUUUCAAUGAAAUUAAAUUAUAAAUUGUUUUGAAAUUAAUAGUGAUUUUAAAAAAUAGAGUACACGGAGACUGUUAAUCGUGGCAAUUUGAUUGUUUAAAUUGAUUGGCUUAUGAUAAAUCGGGCAUGAUUGGCUAGUUGGCAAUUGUAUUGAAAUAGAAAUUGUUUAGUUGCCUUGAGAGACUGUGAAUUACAAAAUUGUCAUAUCAUGUUAUUGAGUUUUAUUGUAUGGUGGAUUAUAUAUAUUAAUUAAUCAUUGCAGUAAGGGGUUUUUGUGGACCAACCUUUUAGAGGGGCACGGUAAACCCCAUUAUAUUCUUACCUCAAACGGAGAGGCGCGUAGGGUAUCUCCUGGGGUAAAGCUUAGGGUUCACUUCACGCCAAACCACCACGUGAGGGGGAACUCAGCCAACGCCAAGGAAUGGCUAUGUUUUCAAAACAAAAACAUGAUUCAUGUGAAAUGUGAAUUUUAAUAGCCUUGGCGGUCUCGGUAGGAUGCCUCAGCCAAGGUGUCCCUGAGAAUGGAUUUGUGGCACGCGCCUAGUUUUUAUGAGAUUCAUAAGCCUCUUUAUGUAUUUUAAAUGAAAUGUAUUCUAAUGCUGUGACCCAGUUUACGAUGAUUUACUUUAUUGUCUCCAUGUACUCAAUUCUAGAUAUUUAUGAUGAUGUCUGUUUACUCAUUGGGAUUUUAUAAUCUCACCACCCUCCUUUUCACCCAUUUCAGGUUUAGUAUAGACUAUAGAUAGCUGAUCUCAUCGAGGACUACCAUUGGAUCUGCAUUUUCCAAACCGUAGGUUCAUAGUCCUCUUUACUUUUGUUUAUUCGGGGGCCUUCUUGUUAUUGUAAAUUAAAUUAAAUAUUUUGGCUUACUGUAUUUCAGUAUGUAUAAAUUUAUUUAGCUUUUACGCUAUAAAAAUUAUUCACGUAU
RNAcentral lists this long non-coding RNA (1096 nucleotides) under Theobroma cacao (cacao). RNAcentral's name for it is "long non-coding RNA (TCAC_LNC006386)". Lineage: Eukaryota; Viridiplantae; Streptophyta; Magnoliopsida; Malvales; Malvaceae. The record is from RNAcentral.